UACAUUCAAUAAGCGGAGGAAAAGAAACCAACAGGGAUUGCCUUAGUAACGGCGAGUGAAGCGGCAACAGCUCAAAUUUGAAAGCUGGCCCUUUUAGGGUCCGCGUUGUAAUUUGUAGAGGAUGAUUCGGCGAGGGCUCCUGCCUAAGUCCCCUGGAACGGGGCGUCAUAGAGGGUGAGAAUCCCGUAUGCGGUAGGUUGCCUUAGCCAUGUGAAUCUCCUUCGACGAGUCGAGUUGUUUGGGAAUGCAGCUCUAAAUGGGAGGUAAAUUUCUUCUAAAGCUAAAUACUGGCCAGAGACCGAUAGCGCACAAGUAGAGUGAUCGAAAGAUGAAAAGCACUUUGGAAAGAGAGUUAAAAAGUACGUGAAAUUGUUGAAAGGGAAGCGCUUGCAACCAGACUUGUCCGCAGUUGCUCAGCCGGUCUCCUGACCGGCGUACUCUUCUGCGGCCAGGCCAGCAUCAGUUCGGGCGGUCGGAUAAAGGCCUCGGGAAUGUAGCUCCUCUCGGGGAGUGUUAUAGCCCGGGGUGGAAUGCGACCAGCCUGGACUGAGGAUCUCGCUUCGGCAAGGAUGCUGGCGUAAUGGUUGUAAGCGGCCCGUCUUGAAACACGGACCAAGGAGUCUAACAUCUAUGCGAGUGUUCGGGUGUCAAACCCGUACGCGUAAUGAAAGUGAACGGAGGUGGGAACCCGCAAGGGUGCACCAUCGGCCGAUCCUGAUGUCUUCGGAUGGAUUUGAGCAAGAGCAUAGCUGUUGGGACCCGAAAGAUGGUGAACUAUGCCUGAAUAGGGUGAAGCCAGAGGAAACUCUGGUGGAGGCUCGCAGCGGUUCUGACGUGCAAAUCGAUCGUCAAAUUUGGGUAUAGGGGCGAAAGACUAAUCGAACCAUCUAGUACUGGUCUC
RNAcentral lists this ribosomal RNA (901 nucleotides) under Lasiodiplodia theobromae. Its description in RNAcentral is "partial large subunit ribosomal RNA". It matches the Rfam family "Eukaryotic large subunit ribosomal RNA", at positions 39 to 958 of the family's 3401-position model. Lineage: Eukaryota; Fungi; Ascomycota; Dothideomycetes; Botryosphaeriales; Botryosphaeriaceae. The record is from RNAcentral.